GUUAGUUUUGUCAAAAGACGCAGGCAUAAGCUACAGCUUUUGCUUCAUUAUGGACGUACGUAUAAUCUAAGAAACGUGGAAUAACAUGUAACUAGAUGUAAACUAGGGUUAUUAUGCUUCAGUGUAAAUCUACGAAAAGUGGAACUGAGAGGAAUCUAAUAAAGGUCAAACUACGGUAACUAGCACCGCUGAAGAGAUGGUAAUGGACUCAACAAUGAUCUUCAUCCAUUUAACUAUAUAAAAUUCCUACGAUUCGAUAGCUGCUUUCAAAAAUAGGUUAAUUGUGUCAUCAGAGUGCGAUACCAUGGCAACUACUCACACUCCUAUGUUUCUCAUUACAAACUUGUCUGGCAGAAGGAAAUGAGCUUUUACUAAUGCUAGCUCUAAAGCGGGAUUUCUGCCUCUCCAUUCUUGCUUCAAGCAGUUUUUCCAUCAACGUGUCAUUUUCUUUUAUAAGCAAUUUGGAACAAGACUCAGACUUGUCAAAAUCUGGGACAAUCAAUGUAGAUUUCCACUGUUUUACAGGACUAAGUGCGGUGCGGAGAGGUAAAUCUUCCCUGAAAAUACUCUCUGGAUAAACCUUAUCAUUGCCUUCAGAAGACAAGGAACUGUUUCUAACUGCAUGACUUGAAUUCAUUCUCUUUGUCCACAAUAAUGCAUUACUUUCUGGUGGACCUUGUGUUGCCUCACAAACAGUAGAUGUCCCAGGGGUAUUAAAUAGAGCUGUGCUGUCCCCUCCAAUUUCACUUGAUUUCCUCUCAACAAACCAACUCUCAUUUUCAUCACAUGACAGGUUCUUCAUCAUACCUGCUUGCAACUCACGACAGUCUUCAAUGAUUUCCUUGGACUCAACAUGAUUCCUCAUAGAAUUUUACCAACGGAGUCUUCUUCAGC
This 894-nucleotide small RNA is filed under the name Vigna angularis var. angularis. RNAcentral describes it as "Non-protein coding transcript". Lineage: Eukaryota; Viridiplantae; Streptophyta; Magnoliopsida; Fabales; Fabaceae. The record is from RNAcentral.